UACGGAGGAGGCAAGCGUUAUCCGGAAUUAUUGGGCGUAAAGCGUCCGUAGGUGGCACUUCAAGUCUGUCGUCAAAGACUGGGGCUUAACCCUGGAACGGCGGUGGAAACUGAAGCGCUAGAGUGUGGUAGGGGUAGAGGGAAUUCCCGGUGUAGCGGUGAAAUGCGUAGAGAUCGGGAAGAACAUCGGUGGCGAAGGCGCUCUACUGGACCACAACUGACACUCAGGGACGGAAGCUAGGGGAGCGAAUGGG
RNAcentral lists this ribosomal RNA (253 nucleotides) under uncultured bacterium. RNAcentral's name for it is "partial 16S ribosomal RNA". It matches the Rfam family "Bacterial small subunit ribosomal RNA", at positions 524 to 776 of the family's 1533-position model. The record is from RNAcentral.